UCAGCAAGCCUGUAAGUAAUGGCUGCUAUGACUCAGCAAAAGCAUGAGAUCAAACCGAAUGACACUGAACUCCAUUUUGGGUAUUUGUAUUUUUCCACAAACUGGGCUGGGAACUGUUUUUUCCUGCCAUAUGUUAAAGCUAUAUAAGGUGGGGUGUGACAUCAUCUAGGGGCCUCAAUCCCCACACAGGGACACUCCUGGAAAACACCUGAGGAACAAAGACUGAACUGGGGGAACUGCUGGUCCCAGGCUAAAAGGAUUUCUAGUCUGUGUAUGGAAGCCUGGUGGAUUGCAGUUGUAUCGUCAGCUAGGAGUAACAUUGAUCCAGUAUAUUUCAGCCAGCAGUGAAUGGAUUAAUGUAAUGUGUGACUCAGAGCACUGGCGAUUUAUUUAUCCAGUGUGCACGCUCUUCCAUCAUAGUGAGCCUCUUCCUCAGUGGAUCCACCGAAAGGUGCUUCACCAUCUAUAUGCCCUGGGCCAUCAGAAGCUGGAGAGUGUGAAGUGGCAUAAGGUCCUGGGUAGGUAUGAAGAGGAAGUCUGGCCUCCAAUACUUUCUCAUUCCCAGAGGGGAAAAGGGAAUGCCCUGCCUGGGAGACAGGAUCAAGCCUUGGGAUGUGGUUUCGGAUGGUAACUUGUUGGAGAAAGCUGUUAGUCUCUAAGGUGCCACAAGUACUCCUUUUCUUUUUGUGAAUACAGACUAACACAGCUGCUACUCUGAAACCUGGAGAAAGCUGCUGUAUCUAGUGGCUCCAAACCCAACAUAACAGUAUUCUCCUCUCCAGCCACCUGAGUUCUACAUGCAGAAGAUGACCCACAAGUGACUGCUUCUUCAGCAGUAAGUUCCCUUCUGAGAAUCAUAGAAUAUCAGGGUCGGAAGGGACCUCAGGAGGUCAUCUAGUCCAACCUCCUGCUCAAAACAGGACCAAUCCCCAAUUUUUGCCCCAAAUGGCCCCCUCAAGGAUUGAACUCACAACCCUGGGUUUAGCAGGCCAAUGCUCAAACCACUGAGCUAUCCCUCACAGGUACCUGUGAAAGCAGGAUCUGGAAGCAAGGAGGAGGCCACUCAUCACUUUCUACAGGCAACUCAGCCACAAGCAGUGAUGAUGACAUCGCCAGGAUAUUGGCCUCACAGCUACAGCACCCUGCUGGGUGAGGAUUGUGAAAUUAGGCAAUUCGUGAUGAUGUGCUUGCUUUGUGUGGUCUGUUACAGCACUUCACAGGAUUAGGGGGAAGUGUACACACUGGAGGAGAGUGCCCCAGACAAGGGCUCUCUUAAGAUGAGAUUGCUGGUAUGUGGGUCUGUCAGCACAGUGUUCAGGCACUGAAUAAAAGGAGAGAGAGAGAGGAUAAUCAUUAUUUCUCUGCUUGUAUUUCCAGAUCUCCAGUCCUCAUGAUGGUAUACAUAGGGGUGCCCUGAAGGGCUGUUUUAUCCUGGGCAGUGAGGACAGGGGUGUCCUCUGGCUGGCUUGGUGAUCCAUUCAAAGGAAGGAAAUGAGAUCUUUUGGCUCCCCUAGAAUCUUAACUUAAAUAUUUUAAAUAAUGGUGUGAAUGAUAUUUUCUCACAUGUGGUUCUUGUCCGCUUGGGAAAAGAGCCUAUAGAACGUAACCCUGCACCACUGGAGAUUUUCAGCUGACUGCAGUGGAAGCAGGAUCAAGCCCAUGCUAAGCAGAAUGGACAAAUCACAAUGCAUAAUUUUAGGUAGAAAUUCUGACCCCAUUGAAGUCAAUGGGAGUUUUGCCAUUGAUUUCUGUGGGGCCAGGAUUUCAUCCUUACUCUUGAAUAUGUGAUUGGUAUUUGUCUGUUCCAUCCUGAGUGAAAUUUUACAUGCUUAUUUUAUUUCCAUUUUUUUAAUUGUAGUUUUGCCUAAUUUGCUUUAAUUGUAUAUCUGAAAACCUCACUAAAAAUUAUCAACAUUCCC
Chelonia mydas (Green sea turtle) is the source of this 1919-nucleotide long non-coding RNA. RefSeq lists it as uncharacterized. NCBI's taxonomy places the organism in Eukaryota, Metazoa, Chordata, Testudines, Cheloniidae. The transcript has 2 exons. The record is from RefSeq and is a predicted model, not a curated record.